RNAcentral lists this ribosomal RNA (587 nucleotides) under uncultured bacterium. Its description in RNAcentral is "partial 16S ribosomal RNA". It matches the Rfam family "Bacterial small subunit ribosomal RNA", at positions 355 to 1376 of the family's 1533-position model. The record is from RNAcentral.
UAGGGAAUCUUCCGCAAUGGGCGAAGCCUGACGGAGCAACGCCGCGUGAGUGAUGAAGGGUUUCGGCUCGUAAAACUCUGUUAUUAGGGAAGAACAAAUGUGUAAGUAACUGUGCACAUCUUGACGGUACCUAAUCAGAAAGCCACGGCUAACUACGUGCCAGCAGCCGCGGUAAUACGUAGGUGGCAAGCGUUAUCCGGAAUUAUUGGGCGUAAAGCGCGCGUAGGCGGUUUCUUAAGUCUGAUGUGAAAGCCCACGGCUCAACCGUGGAGGGUCAUUGGAAACUGGGAAACUUGAGUGCAGAAGAGGAAAGUGGAAUUCCAUGUGUAGCGGUGAAAUGCGCAGAGAUAUGGAGGAACACCAGUGGCGAAGGCGACUUUCUGGUCUGUAACUGACGCUGAUGUGCGAAAGCGUGGGGAUCAAACAGGAUUAGAUACCCUGGUAGUCCACGCCGUAAACGAUGAGUGCUAAGUGUUAGGGGGUUUCCGCCCCUUAGUGCUGCAGCUAACGCAUUAAGCACUCCGCCUGGGGAGUACGACCGCAAGGUUGAAACUUAAAUGAAUUGACGGGGUCAUAGCUGUUUCCUG